Molecule: transfer RNA, 71 nt
Filed under: Lyngbya sp. PCC 8106
Lineage: Bacteria; Bacillati; Cyanobacteriota; Cyanophyceae; Oscillatoriales; Microcoleaceae
Also listed under: 2 other names
Rfam family: tRNA
About the family: Transfer RNA (tRNA) molecules are approximately 80 nucleotides in length. Their secondary structure includes four short double-helical elements and three loops (D, anti-codon, and T loops).
Source: Rfam by way of RNAcentral
GUAGGGAUGGUGUAACGGUAACAUUUCGGUCUCCAAAACCGACGAUCUAGGUUCAAAUCCUAGUCUCUGCG